AUGAUGAAGUUAAUUUGGAGGGAGAAGACUUUAGAAUUCUUAUGCACACUGAUCAUUACACAAAGCGAUCACUUCAAUGUAUGGGGUAUCAGAAAGUGAAUGACCAAUGAGUGUGCGGAGGUGGUGAUGAUCAGGUUGAGGGGACACCCUCUAGCUCUCCAUCCAGUUCACCUCCUUCCUUUAUACCAACUGCAGGCCC
This 199-nucleotide long non-coding RNA is filed under the name Elaeis guineensis (African oil palm). Its description in RNAcentral is "long non-coding RNA (EGUI_LNC067924)". Lineage: Eukaryota; Viridiplantae; Streptophyta; Magnoliopsida; Arecales; Arecaceae. The record is from RNAcentral.